Long non-coding RNA from Haliotis rubra (blacklip abalone), 312 nucleotides. RefSeq lists it as uncharacterized. Lineage: Eukaryota; Metazoa; Mollusca; Gastropoda; Lepetellida; Haliotidae. The transcript has 3 exons. The record is from RefSeq and is a predicted model, not a curated record.
ACGUAUACACCGAGUCGAGCGUUCCUCGUCAAGAUAGUUCAUCAAUAUUGGUGUACAGCAUAUAAAGAUGAACGAGCUUACCAGAGCCUGACCAUGGACGUCAGAUUAAGCUGUAGUAGCCAGACUUCAAUGGAGGACAUAGUCCUUGGAACAGCGGCAGAAGCUAGCCCUGGACAUGAAAAGACAGCUGAAUUAUCAGAUUUUGUCCCAUCAGCAGACAGACUACCACCUCACUCUAUGGGUGCUGACUAUCGAAGUGUUGAAACACCACUCUCAAUUCCAUCCGCAAGUGAGAGCAACAACUUUGCCUCU